Molecule: long non-coding RNA, 5575 nt
Filed under: Homo sapiens (human)
Lineage: Eukaryota; Metazoa; Chordata; Mammalia; Primates; Hominidae
Description: HSALNT0385208
Source: RNAcentral
CAGUGUCUCCGGCGUGUCCUGCAUCUCGGCAGCCAGCUCCUCUGCAGCUCAGGCCCCGUGAGUCACAGCCGCUUCCUCAAAUGCUUUGGCUGACCGCAUCCCCCCGCUCCGCCAGAACCCUGGAUGCCGGAGCCCUCCCAGCGAGAGCCGUGUUUAUUUUACUUUACAUACAUUUUCCAACCCGGAGCGGCUUCAACACAUGCAGCUCUUAGGCCCGGGCCGCACAUCUCAGAAGCCCCGUGUGCGACUUUGACUGCCGCACGAUCCUCUGCCGGGGGAGGUGGGCCCGCUGCGCUUUGGGAGCACCCGCGCCCGACACUGAGGUCUCGGUGCUGUCUUCGGCCUCUUCGCCCCUGAGGGUCCCCUCUGGGAGCAGAGGCGGUCGGAAAACCCUGGGGCUGAAGUGCAGGCUUCGGGAGGACGCGACCUGCCAAGAUCAGCUCCCGGCACGUGAUGGGAGCCUGGCUCACCUUCCCCCAGCACACGAUGGGGCUGCAGCCUCCCCGGUCAGCCUGGCCUGCUGGAAAGGAGCAGCUCUGUCUCCAGAGGCUUCUGGCGAAGCCCAUGGCCUCCCAAUGUUGGCUGAUUUAUAAGGAAAGAGGGGAAAGGCCAAGUGUGGAUGCCAUUAGCAUAACCUAAUCCAGACCCCAUGACAAGUCCAGGAUCCUGCAGGGAGAGGGCAUCCUUGAACGUGAAGGACUGGGUUUGGAAACUUGGCCUCCCGGAAGAAAGGUCUCCGGGCCCACCCACACCCCCCUUGUGGACGCCCCCGCAGUCUAAUACACUCCACAGUAAGACGGACCAGGAACAGCAGCAGCCUCCGGUGUCGGCCCAGUGAUCCGGGAGCUCAGAGUGUAGGUACCUGACGGCUUGACUCGUCCCCAGGACAAGGCCUGUGAGUGGGAGAGGGGCACUCUGAGUGUGCGAAUCUGUGAGAGUGUGUGUGUGUCUGGGCACGAGUGUGUAUGCGUGUGUGUGCAUGUAUAUUCACAUGUGUGAGGGUGUGAAUGUGUGUGUCUGUGGGUCUGGGCACAUGAGUGUGUGUGUGCAUAUACUACAUUCACGUGUGAGUGUGCAAAUGCGAGUGUGUCUGUAGGUCUGGGCACGUGUAUGCGUGUGUGUGCGAGUACUAUAUUCGCAUGUGUGAGUGUGCGAAUGUGUGUGUCUGUGGGUCUGGGCACACGAGUGUGUAUGCGUGUGUGUGCAUGUACUAUAUUCACGUGUGUGAGUGUGCGAAUGUGUCUGUGGGUCUGGGCACAUGAGUGUGUGCAUAUACUAUAUUCACGUGUGUGAGUGUGCAAAUGUGUGUCUGUAGGUCUGGGCACAUGUGUAUGCGUGUGUGUGCGAGUACUAUAUUCACGUGUGUGUGAGUGCGAAUGUGAGUGGGUGUGGGUCUGGUCACAUGUAUGUAUGCAUGUGUGCAUGUAUUAUAGUCAUGUGAGUGUGCAAAUGUGUGUGUGGGUCUGGGCACACAAGUGUGUAUGCAUGUGUUUCUAUUGUAUUCAUGUGAGUAUAAGUGCAAAUGUGUGAGUGUGUGUUCUCUGCACACACAAGUGUAUAGGUAUGUGUUUGUGUGUGCAUGCACUGUAUUCAUGUGAGUGUAUGUGAAUGUGUGACUGUGAGAGUUUGAGUGUGCCUGGGUGUCUGGCUAUACUAGUGCAUGUCUGUGUUCGUGUGCAUCAGUCUGGGUGUGCCCGUGUGUGAAUGUGUCUAUGCGUGGGUGUCCCAAUAUGUGUGUGCCUGUGUAUCCAUGUCUGGGUGUGCCUGUGAGUGUGAGUGUGCGCAUGGGUGUCUGGAUAUGUGAGUGCUUGUGACUACCUGUGUGUGUAUCCAUGUCUAGGUGUGCCCGUGGGUGUGAGUGUGUCUGUGCGUGGGUGUCUGGAUACGUGUGUGCCUGUAUGAGUGUGUAUCCAUGUCUGGGUGUGCCCACGGGUGUGAGUGUGAAUAUGUAAGUCUUGCGUGUGCAUGAGUGUGUUCACAUGAGUGUGAGGGUCUGUGCAUAAGAGCCUAUUGUGAGUGCAUGUGGAUUGCAUUUAUGUGAGUCCGUGUCUGUGUGCACGCACGUGUCCCCGCACAAGCCAGCCCGAGAGGGAGUGUCCCCUGAACACACCCUGGCAGCACUUGCAGCGUGAUGAGGUUGAGGGAAUGUGUCGCUGAGGUCGUAAAUGCCUCUCGCACGUCCCAACACGCUGGAGCAACAGCAGCCCGUGAUGCCGGCCGCGCAGCCGUGAAGUCCGUGGAGCGUCCCUAAUCACUGGGGGUUCUGCUUUGCGGUGACAGCGGUGCUACUCACAGCUCCAGAACUCUGCAGCUUCCCCCCUGAAACGGGAACGGGAAGGUGGCGCGGGCGUCCACACCUCGAGCCACAGCCGGCGGGAGGCACAGGCUGGCAAAACUGCCUCUCAGUAGUGAGAAGAGACAAACAAACCGAACGCCAGGAGCAGAGGAAACGAAGACGAUGUGGCCAAGAAAAAUUGCAUUUUUCUUUCCAGUUUUGCUAAAAUAGCCUUCUCAUUGGCUGCGGCUUUGGAGGUGGCAGAAAUCAUACGUUUAAUCACGGCGCCCUCCUGCUUGCCAAGGUUAGCAGGGGCUGUACUGCUGUGCCCUCCUGUCCCUGGAGGCUCUGGUGGCCCCACUCCCCACACUGCCAGGCUGGGUGCCACGCUGCCGUGACCCCGGAAUUCAGCCUGUGGUGAUCGGUCUUCCCUAGCACGGAGCUGAGUUAGGGGCUCUAGAAUCAGUCCCAGCCACGUGAGGCUCUCCCUGGGAUGUGAGGGUCGUCUCGUCUGUUUACACGGGGGCCACAGUGCAGAUCCCAGCCCGGGCAGGGGAGGGGCAAAUCUAUGCCCACUUCAAGCUUCCACUUCUGCCCGCCUCAAAGUGCCGGAGACUCCGGCACCUCUGCGUUCCUCCUUCCCGGUAGGAACAGAAAGCUGGGAAAGGGCUGGGGUGGCAAGGAAGAGCCCCAGGAAGACGGGAGUGGCUCUCCCCACUCCCUAGAGGACCUCCCUCCCCCAAGCCCAUGGGCCGCCUUCUCCAGGGACUCUUCCCUGUCCCACCCACCGGGCAAGGUGGGCCCAGCAGGGUCUCCUUUUCACCGUGCGCCCCCUCCUGUGGCCGGGUCCUGGGCUAAUGACCUCACAUGCUGCUUUUACAAGUCAGGUUUAUUGCGGUAUCACGUACACACAUAAGGCUCACCCGUUUUCGAUGUACAGCCGACGACUUGGUAAGGGUCUAGAGUGGGGCACUUCUGCCCCGACAGAGGCAGCCCACAUUUUGCCCCUCUGCAGUCAGGCCCCUUCCCGGCCCCCAACCACCACCUGUCUCUCCUCGCUCCUACAGCUUUGCGUCCUCCAGAAUUGUCCUGUGAGUGACUCCCGCAGGAUGGAGACUUUUGUGUCUGGCUUCCUUCACUUCGCAGCAGGCUUCGCGGGACCCGUGUGGUGGCACCAGCGUCCAGCCCUUGAAACCCAUGAAAGAGGAUCCUGAAAGAGCAAGGGCAGCCUCCAGGUGAAGGUGGUGGGCGGCCUCCAGGUGAAGGCGGCCUCCAGGUGAAGGUGGUCAGCACCCUACCUUUGGCCAAGAGCAGACUGCAGUUUCAACUCAAAGAUUAUUCCUGAAUGAUGCAGCAAGCUUAAACUUCCUUAAAAACAAACCUCUGGGAAGAGGAAAAUGAGGCAAGAUGCUGAGAAAAAGUCAUCUCCCACUCUGCCCUUCUCUGGCAAAUCGAAGUGUCCUCUUGUGGGAGGCGGUGGGCAGCGACACUCCCGUUGGACGUCAGUGCUCUCGGGCCCGGCCACCCCGGAGCAGAACUCACUUAGGGCCUGGUGCCCCUGUGCCCAGUUCUCAGAAUGUCGGAGUGCUCAGUUCUCAGAACGCCGGAGUGCCCCAUUCAUAACCUGCAGCCCCGUUCAUAGCCUGCAGCUCCCCUCCUUCCUCUCCUCCUGGUCUUCAGGGAGCACCCCCAGCUCCCCUCCCCACUCUCAAACCCUCCUCCUCCCUCCCCUCUCUCAGUUCCCUGUUUGCAGGAUCUCCUCCUGCCCACUCUCCAGCCCAGGUCCUCCCCUCUCAUCUCCAAUUCUGCUUCACGGGCCAUGACAGCAGGCAGGCCAUGGCCUGCUCUCAGCAGUUUGAUCGAUGGACUAAGGAGAUCACUCCUACGAGAGUGAAAAAGUCAAGUGUGCCUGAGAUUCGGAUGGGGAGCUCUCAAAGCUAUGGAUUGCAAGAGUCAACACCGCCUCAAAAGUACAAGGCCGGCCGGGUGCAGUGGCUCACACCUUUAAUCCCAGCACUUUGGGAGACUGAGGUGGGUGGAUCACCUGAGGUCAGGAGCUCAAGACCAGCCUGACCAACAUGGUGAAAUCCCGUCUCUAUUAAAAAUACAAAAAAAAUUAGCCAGGUGUGGUGGUGCAUGCUUGUAGAUCCAGCUACUCGGGAGGCUGAGGCAGGGGGAGCACUUGAACCCGGGAGGUGGAGGUUGCAGUGAGCCGAGAUUGCGCCAUUGCACUCCAGCCUGGGCAACAGAGUGAGACCCUGCCUCAAAAAGAUAAAAAAAUAAAAGUACGAGGCCCGGUUUAAAUGCAGGAGGAAUCUGGUGAGCGAGUUUCACUCUGAUGCAACAGAAAAGCCAAGCCAAGCCUUGGCUGUGCCUGAUCUUGGCCGGGGAGCCACAGGCAGGGUCUGCUGGUUUCGGUGUCAGGGGCACAUCGCCAGGACCACGUGUGAGAUGGGAAGUGCCUUGAUGGAAAACUGAUACCUUUUUCUUUCCGAGUAACUUUAGAAUAUGUCGCUUCAAAUAUAACUAAUAUCCUGAUUUCAAUGGACUUGCAUGGAAGGAAACGCAAGUUCAUUUGCCAGUGGGGGGUGAGGACUGGGAGAGUGGGGAGCAGGGUGGGGAAGAGGGGACCAUUCCACAAGCUGCAAGAGCCUGGACACCUCCAGCCUUCAAUAAAUAGCAUUUGAAUUUGCUGUGCCUAAUUCAACCUUGCAUUUGUGUAGUGAAAGUCAGGCCCACGGUGUGUAUAGUUUGGCACAUGAGUUCAGCUCGGGUCCCCUUGAUCUGCUUCUAUGUUCUCACUCUCUCCCUGCCCGGCAUGCCCCUCUUUUUCUAUCCAGAUGAGCGAAGGGGUGAAUUAGUCCAGAAAUGUUUCUGCUCCAGUCAAACAAACAUUAUCACCUGUCAGUCAAACAUUAUCACCUGUCAGUCACCAGAGACGUGCACAGGUGCCUUCUCCUUUGCCUCGAGGUUUCUAUGACCUGGGAAAAGCCCAUCCCAUUCCCGGAUGAGGCUUCCCUGCGACCGGCCACAGACACACGAGCUACGCCCCGCCUUGCCAAAACUUUCAAGGUGGGAUGGAAGAAUCUGUCGUUUCUGCAUUUACGACCCCGUACGUGUUCCGUGCUGCAUCUGUUCUGGUUGGGUUGUCUCUCCUCUCAAGGCCUCUUUUGACCCAAACUUACUGCAAAGCAGAUGAGUGAGCCAGAAGCUGCGCUGGGCGUUGGGGGUUGUGGCAGAGGCUGGGGCUGUAUGUGGGCCGGCAGGCCACGGGCCGACCCACCGCAGGCAGCUUAGCAA